Molecule: non-coding RNA, 4682 nt
Organism: Pelodiscus sinensis (Chinese soft-shelled turtle)
Lineage: Eukaryota; Metazoa; Chordata; Testudines; Trionychidae
Source: RefSeq, a predicted model, not a curated record
ACCCAACCCUUUGCCCUGAGCCCCCACAUUCUGCCCUCACUCCAGAACCCGGCAACCUAAGCUCCCCAACCAGUCCCCUGCCCUGACUCCUGCACCCCAUCCACUAUCCUGAGGCACCCCACCCCAUAUCCUGAUCUAGGGAUACGAAGGUUUAACCAAUACUCCUUGUGGGUUAAGAUGAACAGAUGAGGCUGAAGCAGCUCUCCAUCUGCUGCAGGCAGGGGCUGCUCCAGCCUCACAGGGGGCCUGCUAUGGACAGGCAGGGGCUGCUGUGACUGGGAUGCUCAGAGCAGUCCCUGUCUCUGAGGUGCCCUGACCCGGUCACAAGGAAGAGCUGCUCCAUUGUCCCAGUCAGAGCACCCUUUGUCCGCAGCCCCGCAGGGUACCCUGCAGGCAGGGACCAGCCAGGCUGCAGCAGAGGGAAGGAGGGAGGGGUGUCCCCUCUCUCUCCCCCAGCAGUGGGAAGGGGGAGCACACCCAUCCUCCCCCUUUUAAUCGAUUAAACAAUAUGUUUAGCUGGUUAGCCAAUUAAAGAGGAUUUUACAUCCCUACCCUGAGCCUCUGCCCUAAGCCCGCCACACAUCUCACAGCUCCCUGCCCUAACUCCUGAACCAAGCACCCCACACACUCAACCUCCUGCCCUGAGCCCUGUCAUUUAAGUAAAGCAUGUACUUUUUUUUAAUUUAAAAAAUUACUAAAGACCAAGCAAUGCCAGGUACAUCUGCUAGUACUACAUAGCCUAAGUAGGUCUUUGUUACAAAAUAAUAAACCCUGAAACUAUCAAUGUGAUUACAGUCUAUGCUCUUUGAAUGUCUGCUGACAUUUAUUCUCACUACAUGCCACUUACUGGACAUAUAAUAAAUUGCCAUGUACAGAAUAGCUGACUAAUUUCACUGACUGAAACCAAAAGAAAAUACAAAGGCAACAGACAUCCUUUUUCACAUACAUAAGCGUGGCUCUUAUGCUAUAGAGGGCUACCUGGUAUUUAAAAUCUGAUGCAAUAAAAUAUUUGCACAAUUGAUAUUAUGUUAUGUCCACAAAAAUUAUGAAAACUUUUAACAAAUUCUAGCUCUUCCUGGAGAGUAAUAACAUGUCUGCACAACCUUCAACUUUAUUAUCUGGAACAGAUAUUUUAAACUACAUUAGACUACAAUAUGUUGCCAACAUUUAAACAUGUAAAACUUCACCCUUAAGUAAACUUUUGCUAAGUAUCAUUAAAUAGCUAGCCUCAGUUCUCUCUAUAAAAUACUGGCUAAGAAUAAUUUUAUUUCAACUACAGCUUUACCACAGCAGAAAAGACAUGUAAGAGGGCAGACAUUUAUAUACUAGGCACUAUUUGUUGCAUUGUUUAAUAGCUAAGGACUCCAGAUUACUUUCUAAAUAGGGUGAGGAUUGGUGCUCCUCCACUAAACAACACACAAAAAGGAAAGAAUACUGCCUAAUUUAGAAAAGAUCAAUCAUCAACCUAAAUAAACAGAGUGAUAAGCAACUGCUACUUUAAAAUUCCACAGCUUCAACGAUUGGGAUUACGAACUGCAGACUAAUACGGAAGGGACUAAUAGCUAAGCAGAAAAAGCAGGAACUGAGUGACAAAAAGAGCGUGUCUGUGUCUCUCUCAGUCUCUGCCUCUGGUGCAUGCACCUCCCAGCAGCUCUCUCCCUAUUUAAAGGCUGAUGUGGUGUUUAAAUGGAGAGGCGGUGACGUGGGGCUGGAAAGCACCUUCCCAUCCUGGCAGAGUCUAUAUUAGAGAGCGGCAAUGGCUCUAUAUAAACAGGGCAGUCACAGGGAGGAGGAACACAAGGAGCAGGGAGACAGAAAGGCAGGGGAAGCCAUGAUGGAUCUCACAGCGAAACACAAACAAGGGGGCCAAGCCUGCACCGUAACCGCCCGGACUGGGGUUUGUCGGCAGCUUUUCGGGGGUAGGCUUGUGGAUGGGUUUAUUCUUGUCAGAGGGAAGGGAAAGAAGCGAUCGGUGGGGCUUGGCGGCUACAAAGAUUUAUGUGACUGCUUAUUGCACAUCUAUGUGAAUACAAGUAAAACAAGCCACCGCCGAGAGUGCAGAAAGCACAAGGGGGAGGAAGGGGUAUUACUAAAGCAUUUUGCACGUAUAGUAAGGGCGCAAGAAGUACGUUCUGAUUGCACACAACGUUGACUGAGAGAGCCAUGUAUUCCCUCUACAUUCAAACCACUGCAAUCGGCAAUCUGCACACCCCACAAAUUAUAGCUGUUGCCAUUUUGAGCUUGAGGGUCUCCCCCUUCCACAUUCAUGGAACACCUGACUCAGGUAAUGAGGGGAAGAAGAGAACUCAGGAUAACAUGUUCCAGGAGAUGCUGCAAGCCAGGGUUGCAACAAGGAACAAGACCAAGGUCUGGAGGAUGACCUUUGCAAACAGCAUUCAGAAUGCCAGAGUGGAGAGAAGAAAGCCCAGGAGUCCAAGCAGGCAAAGGAAAAAUAGAUGUACCAGGAAAUAAUGGGGCUUCUCGGAGAGCAAAAAGAGAUGUGGAGGAUUCUGAUAGACCUCCCUCUGCAGCCCACAGACAACUCAGUGUUCAGACUUCCCUACCCCUGCCCUCAACAUUCCACAUGGCGUGAGUGGCCGCUGCACGUCCCAGAGAACUUUAAAGACAAUCACAACUGCACAGAUGCUGACCUGUGAAAGAUGUAAUUAGUACUUGAAGUAGAAAUAACUCUUCUUUCCCCUUCAUAUUUUCUGGUUCCUUAAUUUAUGUUUUAUAAAGUCUACAUGUUUAUUUCCCUGGUUCAUGUUACAGAAUACAAUUCUGUUUUUUGGAACUUAAGUCAUCUUUAUUAGUUCACAACAUAUGCUGACUGGUGCUGCGCAGGGCUGACACCCACCAAUUUCCUGUUAUUUUAUUUUGUCUCAGAACCAUAAACAUCUCAGGCAAUAUUAAUAGUGCAUUGUUAAUGUUUUAUUCCUACACAUAGCACUCACUACAUGUUUCAAACUAGGCUGCAAAAGAGAAACAUACCCUACUCUGGCUCAUGAUUAAAAUGUUUGUUUAAAGUGUCUCAUCUGAAUAGCUCCAUAUUGAGCUCUUCUAAUAAACCUCAUGUCUGGCUGUUCAAAUUUAGCAAAUAGCUGCUCCACCUUGCCCCUACAUCCCAGAGUUAACAUGAGGGGUGGCAGGAAGUGUGCAUAGGGGCAGCACACCCAGAGAUCCCCAGGAACCAUUACCAGAGGGGGAUGACCCCAGAUGUGUUGCACCUCCUUUCCAGCCUUCCCCAAACUCCCUUGUGCAUCCCACACCCUCCAGAGCCUGCACCCUCUUCCCCCACACCCUUGUCCUGCCCACUCUCCCCCUCCAGCCCUCAAACUCCCUGCCAGAGCCUGCAUCCAGGACCCCCUGUCCCAGGCCAGAGCCAGCACCCAGACUCUAUCCCAAAGUCUGCACCACAGACCCCCAUCUGCACCCCUUCACCCCAACAAUGUUUUGGUUCCAUGAAGCAUUGCAAACCCCUCUCCAAGCCCCCUGCUGCUAGGUGCACUGUGAGAUAGCUACCAAGGAUACACUUCUCUCUGCAUCGAUGCAAGCACUGCUGAGGAUGUACUCCACUGACACAGUGAACGUGGCGUGGACCUGCCCAAUUGACUUAAUUACUGUAACAGCUGGAUUCCAACUUAAAGUAAGUUGAUUUAACUUCGUAUUGUAAAUGUGCUAUAUGAAAGUGUAAAGGACAUUACACCAAUCAACCAGUUACAAUCAACCAGUCCUUUCCCAGCUGAAAUUCCCUUUUAUAUUAGAUGUUUGUACUGAUGUUACAAUGUAGUUACGUCAAUGCAAAUUUCUCUAGUCUAGCCAGGCCCUUAGGCUCUUUUACACAUAUUUACUCAGGGCUUUUCACCAUCCAUAUAAUUUAUUUGCUUAUAUAGAGUUUCUCCUUAUUUAUACUAGCAUCUGUGAGUGAAGUUUCCGAUCCCUAGAAAAAAAUUAGAUACACAUCCACUUAUUUAAAUAUAACCUACAUCCUAUAAUAGUUCAGGACAGCCAUACAGUAAAUUUAGGAUGUACUGGUGUGGUGUCCUGACAGGUCUCCUGCUCCGUCAGUGAUCGUAAAAUGUUUGGCGUGUUUUUGUGCUUCCUCAGUAUAUCAUGCCAGCUUUGCACAGGUAGCUAGCAUAAUAGACUUUCUGAGAGCUCUCAAAGACCACAGAUGUAGAUAAGAUACGAAGGCGCCCAAGUCAGUUUAUUGUCGAAUACAGUAGUACAUUAAUAGUUUGGUAGACAGAUGGCCUCCGAGCCCCUACGUAUUUGUACUUGGGACAUUGAACAGGGUUCAAUCGAUAGUAUGGAUUUUACUAUUGCCCCCUAUGUUGGCCAAAGAAUUAAGUUGAGGUACCCCAAUAUUUAUAGACAGAAAUGAAAAAUGUAUGAUAUGCACCAUACAUAUCACCUUACACAUUAAUGACACAUUUGGUUUCUCCCCUUAUACUUUUUCUAAAGCAUUUACUACCCAUUGUUAUGCUUGUACUUUUGUUGUUUUAAACUAUUUUAUUAUGUACUUAGGUGGGUGUUUUUGUACUGUUUUAAUGGAACAUAUUUACAUGUUAUAUGUGCUUUUAUCAGUGCUAGCAGUUCUAGUGCUGAGAUACACUGACUUGAAGGCAAACACUUGCUUUUGACAUGGCCUGUUUAUUACUUAUAAUACAACUUUGGUUAAA